ACAUUUCUUUUAGUUUAUCUUAUAAGUAUGGCCUGCCCACUGUGUAUAAAUAAAGGGCCGCGGUAUAUUGACCGUGCAAAGGUAGCAUAAUCAUUAGUCUCUUAAUUAGAGAAUGGAAUGAAUGGCUAAACAAUUUAUUAUUAUUAGGAUUUUAAUUAGGUAAUUUUGAUUAUAAGUGAAAAUACUUAAUUUUUUCAAAGGGACGAUAAGACCCUAUAGAAUUUGAUUAUUACAUUUGUGGUUAACUAUAGUAAUAUUUUAUCUGGGGCAGAUAAAGAAUAAAUUUAAUUUCUUUAGUAUAAUUUUAUAAAAAAAGGGAUAUAAUUUAAUUUUUUAAUAUUUUAAAAAAAUUACCUUAGGGAUAACAGCGUAAUUAUUUUUAAGAGUUCUUAUCAACAAGAUAGUUUGCGACCUCGAUGUUGAAUUAAAAUUUCUUUAUGGGGCAGUUUUUAUUUAAAGAUAGUCUGUUCGACUAUUAAAUUUUUACAUGAUUUGAGC
Molecule: ribosomal RNA, 498 nt
Filed under: Plutomurus gul
Lineage: Eukaryota; Metazoa; Arthropoda; Collembola; Entomobryomorpha; Tomoceridae
Description: partial large subunit ribosomal RNA
Rfam family: Bacterial large subunit ribosomal RNA
Source: RNAcentral